UACAGAGGUCCCAACCGUUGUUCGGAUUCAUUGGGCGUAAAGGGUGCGUAGGCGGCGGUGCAAGUCAGGUGUGAAAUCUCGGGGCUCAACCCCGAAACUGCACUUGAUACUGCCUUGCUAGAGUACUGGAGAGGAGAUUGGAAUUUACGGUGUAGCAGUGAAAUGCGUAGAUAUCGUAAGGAAGACCAGUGGCGAAGGCGAAUCUCUGGACAGUUACUGACACUGAGGCACGAAGGCCAGGGGAGCAAACGGG
RNAcentral lists this ribosomal RNA (253 nucleotides) under uncultured bacterium. RNAcentral describes it as "partial 16S ribosomal RNA". It matches the Rfam family "Bacterial small subunit ribosomal RNA", at positions 524 to 776 of the family's 1533-position model. The record is from RNAcentral.